GAUGAACGCUGGCGGCGUGCCUAACACAUGCAAGUCGAGCGGCAGCGAGGGGUGCUUGCACCCUGUCGGCGAGCGGCGGACGGCUGAGUAACGCGUGGGAACGUGCCCCAAAGUGAGGAAUAACUGCCCGAAAGGGUAGCUAAUACCGCAUAUUAUCUUCGGAUCAAAGGAUUUAUCCGCUUUGGGAGCGGCUCGCGUCGGAUUAGGUAGUUGGUGAGGUAAUGGCUCACCAAGCCGACGAUCCGUAGCUGGUCUGAGAGGAUGACCAGCCAGACUGGAACUGAGACACGGUCCAGGCUCCUACGGGAGGCAGCAGUGAGGAAUCUUCCACAAUGGGCGAAAGCCUGAUGGAGCAACGCCGCGUGCAGGACGAAGGCCUUCGGGUUGUAAACUGCUUUUAUAAGUGAGGAAUAUGACGGUAACUUAUGAAUAAGAAUCGGCUAACUACGUG
This 451-nucleotide ribosomal RNA is filed under the name uncultured bacterium. Its description in RNAcentral is "partial 16S ribosomal RNA". It matches the Rfam family "Bacterial small subunit ribosomal RNA", at positions 28 to 507 of the family's 1533-position model. The record is from RNAcentral.